CGACUUGGAGGUUGUUCCCUUGAGGAGUGGCUUCCGGAGCUAACGCGUUAAGUCGACCGCCUGGGGAGUACGGCCGCAAGGUUAAAACUCAAAUGAAUUGACGGGGGCCCGCACAAGCGGUGGAGCAUGUGGUUUAAUUCGAUGCAACGCGAAGAACCUUACCUACUCUUGACAUCCAGCGAACUUGGCAGAGAUGCCUUGGUGCCUUCGGGAACGCUGGGACAGGUGCUGCAUGGCUGUCGUCAGCUCGUGUUGUGAAAUGUUGGGUUAAGUCCCGCAACGAGCGCAACCCUUAUCCUUUGUUGCCAGCGAGUCAUGUCGGGAACUCAAAGGAGACUGCCGGUGAUAAACCGGAGGAAGGUGGGGAUGACGUCAAGUCAUCAUGGCCCUUACGAGUAGGGCUACACACGUGCUACAAUGGCGCAUACAAAGAGAAGCGACCUCGCGAGAGCAAGCGGACCUCACAAAGUGCGUCGUAGUCCGGAUCGGAGUCUGCAACUUGACUCCGUGAAGUCGGAAUCGCUAGUAAUCGUGGAUCAGAAUGUCACGGUGAAUACGUUCCCGGGCCUUGUACACACCGCCCGUCACACCAUGGGAGUGGGUUGCAAAAGAAGUAGGUAGCUUAACCUUCGGGAGGGCGCUUACCACUUUGUGAUUCAUGACUGGGGUGAAGUCGUAACAAGGUAUC
RNAcentral lists this ribosomal RNA (688 nucleotides) under uncultured bacterium. RNAcentral's name for it is "bacterial SSU rRNA". It matches the Rfam family "Bacterial small subunit ribosomal RNA", at positions 813 to 1500 of the family's 1533-position model. The record is from RNAcentral.